Molecule: RNA transcript, 5015 nt
Organism: Chroicocephalus ridibundus (black-headed gull)
Lineage: Eukaryota; Metazoa; Chordata; Aves; Charadriiformes; Laridae
Gene: IFT81
Gene name: intraflagellar transport 81
Exons: 20
Source: RefSeq, a predicted model, not a curated record
GGGAGGCGCGCGCGCGGGAGGGCCGGGGCGAAGGACGAGGCCGCCCCGUCGCCUCAGGGCCCGGCCGCCUCCUCCCGCGGUCUCCGUGAGGGGCCGGGCCUUCCUCUGUAGGCCGCGGGGCUGAGGGGGUGGCCGGGCCGAGCCCGGCGCCGGUUCACCGCCUGCGGGCUGCCGUGGGCCUCGCUGAGGAGGCGCCUUCACCCGCCCUCCCGGCAGCCCCCGGCUCCCUCUCCCCGCCGAGGCCUUCCGACAUCUCUUCUGUCUUUUCUGCAGAGGUUUUCCCAGGCCACGAUUAUGAGUGACCAAAUCCAGUUCAUUGUUGAGAAGCUCAAUCAGGAGCCCUUCAGGAAGAACUACAAUUUAAUCACGUUUGACUCCUUAGAGUCAGUGCAGCUGUUGCAGCUGCUCAAUGAUGUUCUGGGGGAGAUUGACCCAAAGCAUGCUGUUGACAUUAGAGAGGAGCUGCCAGAACAAACAGCUAAAAGAAUGUUGAGUCUUCUUGGUAUCCUUAAAUACAAACCCCCAGGAAGUAUAUCAGAUUUGAGUGCAUUUCGCCAAGGGUUAGUUACUGGAAGCAAACCUGUAAUUUAUCCUGUCUUACAUUGGCUUCUUCAGAGGACCAAUGAACUCAAGAAAAGAGCUUACCUGGCACGUUUCUUAGUAAAAUUGGAAGUGCCAGCGGAGUUCCUACAGGAUGAUACUGUGGCUGACAUCAACAAGCAGUAUGAAGAACUGAUGGAAGCAUUUAAAAACCUACAUAAGGAGUGCGAGCAGCUCAAAACAUCUGGUUUAUCUACUGCAGAAAUAAGAAGGGACAUCAGUGCAAUGGAAGAGGAGAAAGAUCAACUUGUCAAAAGAGUAGAACGUCUUAAGAAGCGGGUGGAGACAGUACAAAAUCAUCAACGAAUGCUUGAAAUAGCAAGACAGCUUCGCUUAGAAAAAGAAAGAGAAGAAUCUUUGGCUCAACAGAAACAAGAACAAAAAAAUCAGUUGUUCCAUGCAGAGCAGAGACUGCAAAGAGCACAGCUCCAGCUGAAAGAGAUGCAUCACGCAGUAGUGGAUUCAAAACCUGAAAGUUUAAUGAAGAAACUAGAAGAGGAGAUAAAUUUCAAUUCAUACCUGGUUACUGAAAAAUUACCUAGAGAGCUUGAAAGUAAGAAGAAUUCAGCAUAUUUCUUACAAAAAGUGGUUGCGGAGCCAGCUAUGAGUCAAUCUGAUCUCAAUGUACUUGAAAUCAAGAUAAAUGAAGUAAAUGCACAAAUGAAUCAGCUUAUUGAGAAAAGAAUGAUGAAGUAUGAGCCAAUUGAUAGUAAAUUUUCCAUGUAUCGCCAACAGGCAUCUAUAAUUUCCCGGAAAAAGGAAGCCAAGGCAGAAGAACUUCAGGCUGCUAAGGAAGAGAUGUCCAGCACUGAAAGGCAGAUGCUACAGAAGACCAGUCAGGCCCAUGAGUUAGAAGGCUCUGAAGUUCUGAAAGGGGAUGAGUUUAAACACUAUGUUAAUAAGCUCCGGAGCAAGAACACAUUUUAUAAAAAGAAGCGCCUGGAAAUAGCAGAAAUUACAGCUGAGUAUGGUAUCCUCCAGAGGACGGAAGAACUUCUAAAACAGCGCCACGAGGCUAUUCAGCAGCAGUUGCAAUCUAUUGAAGACAAGAAAGGCAUUUCUGGAUAUAGUUACACCCAGGAGGAGCUGGAAAGAGUAUCUGCAGUAAAGAGUGAAAUGGAUGAAAUGAAAGGCCGAACACUAGAUAACAUGUCUGAAAUGGUGAAAAAACUCAACACUAUGGUGGCAGAGAAGAAGGCAAGCCUAGCUCCUGUUAUCAAAGAACUGAGACAGUUGCGUCAGAAGUGCCAGGAAUUAACUCAAGAAUGUGAUGAAAAAAAAAUCCAAUACGACAGUUGUGCAGCGGGGUUAGAGAGCAAUCGCUCUACGCUGGAACAGGAAGUGAAAGGACUUUUUGAAGAGUGUGCUCAGGAAGAAAGCAACUACCAUUAUAUUAACUGCAUGAAAAGGAAUCUAGAAAUACAGCUGCAGCGUGCUAAAGAAGAAAUGAAGGCGUACGUCUCCCCAGACCCACAGGAGAGACGGAAGGCAAUUAGAGAACAGUAUACACGAAUAAUCCUUGAACAAGAAAACCUUGGGAAGAAAUUACGAGAGAAGCAGAAAGCUGUACGGGAGAGUCACGGGCCAAAUAUGAAGCAAAUUAAAAUGUGGCAGGAUUUUGAGCAGUUAAUGGAAUGUAAGAGAGAAUGUUUUCUGAAACAACAAAAUCAAACAGCCAUUGGUCAAGUCAUUCAGGAAGGAGGUAAAGACAGGCUUGUAUUAUGAAUUCUUCCUGCUACCAACAUAAAGCAGGAAGACGCUGUGUUGGCGUCCUAAAGGUAACCUCUUACUAAAUAUUGUUGCUUUCAUUAUUUCUAUGUAAAUUUUUUUGUACAUUAUUUGGUUUUGGUGGAUAAACAAAAAGCAACUAACCACUCUGCGAAGCUUUUCCUCUGUCGUUUCAGUGACAACGUACCGUGGUUAAGGGGGAGGUCUGUUAUGGGAGCUGCACUAGGGUGAACCUCAUCGUAAAUCUUUGGUUUAUGAGGCUGGGAAUGGCACGCAUCUGCAGAGAGAUCAAAGGAAAAGAAAUCCUUCUCUAGGGUCACAGAAAACUUAGCAGUAGGUUUCCUGCUGAAGGAACGCUGUUAACUCUUCGGCUGCCUUUCUCUACUGCAGUCCCUACUGGAAACAGAAUUGAAAUUUUCAUGGACGUGCCAGUGUUCCAGUGAGGAAGUAUUACACAAAUCGACAAUUUUAUCACAAGGCUGAUGAGACUGCUCAGGUAUCGGCACGAGCGAGCCAGGAACCAGGGAGAGAUCCAGUUAACGUUCACAGGACAGUAAUGAGAAUCGGGCAUUUAUUAUUUCGUGGGCAAUGACAACAUCAUCUCAAAAUUAAGUCUCCUUAGGAAAACAUCUCCCACAGCUAAUAACUAGAAAGCAAUCGGAAUUCUUCUGACAAAGAGGAGGAGCGUGGCAUACUUCAUAGUGGGUUUUUACUGUUGUGCUUACUGUGCCUUUUCUGGUUUUAUAUUUACUACUCAGUACUUCAGCCGUUUGUGUGUGAAAUGCAACCUUUGAAAAUCUAUAUACACUGAAGGUUCUUUUCUGCUUGUUGAUUUGACUGAAUGAAGUCAAGGCUGAUCAUGAAAUACACCGAGAGGGAAAGAGAGAACUCAUAUAAUGGAAAAAGCACUAUAAAUAUUUUCCUGGGAUCGUUAACACAACCUUGUAACACUUCACCCUGUGUAGCGGAAAAAUUGUACAAUCCUUCUAUGAAAUGUCUAGAAAGUGUUUACAAUUCCAUCCCAAACUAAUGUGGCUUUUUUUUAAGUGUAAAGAAAACAUCCCAUAAUUCUUAAUUCUGUUAUCAAAGUUAUUUUCAACCUUUGAAGGGAUUCACUUGCUAGUGACUUGGCAGUGUCAAACAAAUGUUCAACUUUUAUUCUGACACUUCUUGAAGAAUUUGAUUGAAACUAUAUAUGUCUAGAUAACACCCAACAAAGUGCCCCUCUUGCGUUUGUUUCAAGAUAUUUUUGGAAACAACAGAGGCGACCUUGGAUGGAGCUGCUUUUCCAAUUUAGGACUUCAUUUGGUCUAAGAGAGUAAAAUUAUACUCUUUAAUCCUUUUGUGUACCCACAAAUGAGACAGAUUUAUUUUACGCUAUUGUAGAAUUGUUUUUCUGUACCUUCUUCGCAGUGUCAAUCUGUUUAGGAUAAGAAUUAUUUUCGGUAAUUAGGAGUUACUUUCAAAUGGACAUAUAAAUAGUCCUUCGAUGUAUCACACGUCCCUUAAAAAUAUUGCGUAAUCUAAAUGAACAGUGGUCCUUUCUGUAAUACCUUUGCUUCUUUAGAACUGGGGCUAAUAAAUAAGCGUUAGCCUUUGUCUUGGCUGAUAGACGUGAGGCAUCUGAUUUCACGCCAGAGCUCACACAGACUUGAUGUAAAGUCUAAAUGAGGAGGGUGGUAAUGCUGGCGAGGGCUCUGCGAUGGGGCUGCCACCUGUCCAGAUCACAGCAGAAAUAUUGUUUGUCGAGCUUCAAGUUUAAAAGCCAAGGUUAGGAGCCAGGGUCUCUGUGCAUCUAGAAUGGGGUGAUUGUUUUCUUCUGACUUCGGUUUGCCAGCUGUGCAGUUGUAGCUGUAAAAUUCUAUUACUUCUAAUCACUGAAGAUGUUUUAAAUAGUUUGCACUUAAUUUUCUAUAUAAUCAGUAUAUUUUAUUUCAUUUGUAUUGCUCUCUGUUAUAGGCAUACUGCAUUUCGUAACAAAAUGGAGUUAGUCUCUUGCAAUGAUAAUGCAGUUUCGCUGCUGUGAAUAAAAACUGCAUUGACAGAGCACAAUGUACUUGUCAUUUAUCCUGUACAGUAUUUGCUCUCUUCAAUAAUAAUGUUGUCCAGUGUUACCUAAUGAUCAAAUACAAAGUAUAAUAUGGAAACUAAAUCUAGACGCGCCAGUAGAAUCUGUUUGACAUACGUGGUUUAUGGAAAUACAUAUGUAAAUAUACUAUUUGGGAGUAUACUUUUUAUAUUCAUUUCAUCGCAUUUAGCGUCAAUGCAUAUUUCUAUAGCUCUAUUAUAUACUUACUAUGGCUGAUGGCUCAAGUUCUAACUCUAGAACAUCCAGUUUCCUGAUUUUAUGGCAUUUUCAUGUCAAGUAUUUGUGGACAGCUUAAGAGAAGCAACUCUGAUCCUGUGAACCUGUACGUAUGUGAGCAUGACUACAUGGGCGUAUGCACAAAUCAGGUCAAAAUAAACUAUUUGGUAUAGCAACUUUCAUCACAGAAUCUCAAAAUAAUUGACAAACAACUCUUAGUAGAGUCUGUUGACUGUGUAGCCAGAUAAACAAGCGGCUGCUAUUUAUAUUAUUUUCUAGACGAACAAACCACGAUAGGGAAUGAAACAGAAGCAAAACUGGGAAUCCAGUCCUCGUCUCUGGGCUGUGGACUCAGGGCAUGCCCGGGGUUCCCAACCUGAUC